CAGUAGCCGCGGGAACACGUAGGUGGCAAGCGUUGUCCGGAAUUAUUGGGCGUAAAGGGCUCGCAGGCGGUUUCUUAAGUCUGAUGUGAAAGCCCCCGGCUCAACCGGGAGGGUCAUUGGAAACUGGGAAACUUGAGUGCAGAAGAGGAGAGUGGAAUUCCACGUGUAGCGGUGAAAUGCGUAGAGAUGUGGAGGAACACCAGUGGCGAAGGCGACUCUCUGGUCUGUAACUGGCGCUGAGGAGCGAAAGCGUGGGGAGCGAACAGGAUUAGAUACCCCAGUAGUCCCUGUCUCUUAUACA
RNAcentral lists this ribosomal RNA (301 nucleotides) under uncultured bacterium. RNAcentral describes it as "partial 16S ribosomal RNA". It matches the Rfam family "Bacterial small subunit ribosomal RNA", at positions 509 to 808 of the family's 1533-position model. The record is from RNAcentral.